This 331-nucleotide long non-coding RNA is filed under the name Setaria viridis. RNAcentral's name for it is "long non-coding RNA (SVIR_LNC009551)". Lineage: Eukaryota; Viridiplantae; Streptophyta; Magnoliopsida; Poales; Poaceae. The record is from RNAcentral.
UUUUCUCUCACUUGUUCCAACGAAAACUGUCUAAUCCUCAUUUUAGUUCUCUUGCUGAUUUCAAUGGCAACAAUCUGGAUACAUCGUUCCACUCUCUUUUCGGUCACAUAAAAGAAAUUAGCUCUUGGCAUCAUAUGUGUUGGGGAUCACCCAAAAACUAAACAACCUUGAGCGCCGUUCGUAGAUAAAAACUCUCUAACCUCGCAAGUUCUGGACCAGGGAACAAAACUUAGUUAACCUCGCAACAUCUUGUGGAAACUGUUCUGGCAAUAAAACUCUUAUCCUCGCAUCCUCUUUGUUACCUUAGGGACUCGAAGCUAGCGAGUGAUGA